UCCCUGGUGGCCCAGUGGUUAAGACUCCAUGUUCCCAACACAGGGGGCCUGGGUUCGAUCCCCAGUCAGGGAA
This 73-nucleotide transfer RNA is filed under the name Bos taurus (domestic cattle). It matches the Rfam family "tRNA". From Rfam's summary of the family: Transfer RNA (tRNA) molecules are approximately 80 nucleotides in length. Their secondary structure includes four short double-helical elements and three loops (D, anti-codon, and T loops). Further hydrogen bonds mediate the characteristic L-shaped molecular structure. tRNAs have two regions of fundamental functional importance: the anti-codon, which is responsible for specific mRNA codon recognition, and the 3' end, to which the tRNAs corresponding amino acid is attached (by aminoacyl-tRNA synthetases). tRNAs cope with the degeneracy of the genetic code in two manners: having more than one tRNA (with a specific anti-codon) for a particular amino acid; and 'wobble' base-pairing, i.e. permitting non-standard base-pairing at the 3rd anti-codon position. RNAcentral also lists the same sequence under 4 other names. The record is from Rfam by way of RNAcentral. Lineage: Eukaryota; Metazoa; Chordata; Mammalia; Artiodactyla; Bovidae.